This 400-nucleotide ribosomal RNA is filed under the name uncultured bacterium. RNAcentral describes it as "bacterial SSU rRNA". It matches the Rfam family "Bacterial small subunit ribosomal RNA", at positions 356 to 773 of the family's 1533-position model. The record is from RNAcentral.
GGGGGAUAUUGCACAAUGGGGGAAACCCUGAUGCAGCGACGCCGCGUGAGUGAAGAAGUAUUUCGGUAUGUAAAGCUCUAUCAGCAGGAAAGAUAAUGACGGUACCUGACUAAGAAGCACCGGCUAAAUACGUGCCAGCAGCCGCGGUAAUACGUAUGGUGCAAGCGUUAUCCGGAUUUACUGGGUGUAAAGGGAGCGCAGACGGCAUGGCAAGCCAGAUGUGAAAGGUGGGGGCUCAACCCCCAAGCUGCAUUUGGAACUGUCAAGCUAGAGUAUCGGAGAGGUAAGUGGAAUUCCUAGUGUAGCGGUGAAAUGCGUAGAUAUUAGGAGGAACACCAGUGGCGAAGGCGGCUUACUGGACGAUAACUGACGUUGAGGCUCGAAAGCGUGGGGAGCAAAC